Long non-coding RNA from Mytilus trossulus (common blue mussel), 270 nucleotides. RefSeq lists it as uncharacterized. The record is from RefSeq and is a predicted model, not a curated record. The transcript is spliced from 3 exons. Lineage: Eukaryota; Metazoa; Mollusca; Bivalvia; Mytilida; Mytilidae.
CUUUCACAUGUUAUGACUGUUCCCUUGUGAACCAACCACAUAACUGUACCAGUAAGGUCCAGUGUAAUAAACAUACGGAGGUUUGUGUAGCAGCAGAAACUCAUGUGUCUGGGUUUCACAGAGGAUACAAAUUGGGAUGUAUUGAAAAGCAGACAUGUAGCAAUCUGUUAUCAAGAGGUAUAGAUGGGACAUGUUGUAACACUAGUUUCUGUAAUGCAUUUUAUCUUCCAAAGCAGACCAUUACACAAGCAAAUAAUCUCGGACUACCUU